RNAcentral lists this ribosomal RNA (253 nucleotides) under uncultured prokaryote. RNAcentral describes it as "partial 16S ribosomal RNA". It matches the Rfam family "Bacterial small subunit ribosomal RNA", at positions 525 to 777 of the family's 1533-position model. The record is from RNAcentral.
ACAGAGGGUGCGAGCGUUGUUCGGAAUUAUUGGGCGUAAAGGGAGUGUAGGCGGUUUGACAAGUCUUCUGUGAAAUCUACGGGCUUAGCCUGUAACGUGCAGAGGAAACUGUCAGGCUUGAGUGUCGGAGAGGAUAGGGGAAUUCCCGGUGUAGAGGUGAAAUUCGUAGAGAUCGGGAGGAACACCAGUGGCGAAGGCGCCUAUCUGGCUGACAACUGACGCUGAGACUCGAAAGCAUGGGGAGCAAACAGGA